GAGCUCUUUCCUGGGGGGAAGACAGUGCAUCAGGCCCUGCUGGUAGACCUCAGUGGACUCUCUGAGGCUGCUAUAAACCUGUCUGUUUUCUGCAGAAGGAAGUAACUUCUGCUUGGGAAGAGAGCAAAAAUCGGUAAACUUCUGUAUCAGUUGUAAAUCACCUGUAGGCUGGUUGGUAGCUGGAUGACUAAUGGGGGAGUUUUUAGCCCUGAAGCUACUGGAAGACUUUCUUGUGGUCACAGCCUAUGUAUCAACCUGAAAAUAAGGAUCGUUCAGGGCCCUGUGCUGUGCUCCCGGGUCAGCGAGUGCACUGAUGCAGCACUGCCUCCUCUGCCUUGCUUUCAGGGCAAACUGCACGUGCCACAGCUGGAGAGGUGAGGUCUGCUGUGCCAUGUAGCCUUUGAUUACAAGACCUUUACCGAAUACUGGAUCAAAAAAAUAUUUCCCGCCGAGUCUUCAUUUUCCAACUCUCUAUACUAAAGUGAUUUCCAGCCAUUGAUCUUUGGAUUC
Dromaius novaehollandiae (emu) is the source of this 510-nucleotide long non-coding RNA. RefSeq lists it as uncharacterized. The transcript has 3 exons. NCBI's taxonomy places the organism in Eukaryota, Metazoa, Chordata, Aves, Casuariiformes, Dromaiidae. The record is from RefSeq and is a predicted model, not a curated record.